CUUUGACCCAAAGCUUCGUGCUCAAGUUUUUUUGUCGACUCGGUUAAUUCUUCCGAUUCUGUAAGGAUCAAAUACUCAAACUGACUCGCCGGAAAUAGGUGUAUGUGAAGAAAAUGAGUCAUUUCUGCUACUAUUGCGGUGUCAUAAAAGUAAGACAAACAGUUUUUAUCAAAUUUGGUAUAAAAUUAUCAAUGAAAUCAAUAAAGCAAUCGGUAUUGAUGAUUCCCGUGGGUUUCA
This is a long non-coding RNA of Venturia canescens, 237 nucleotides long. RefSeq lists it as uncharacterized. The transcript has 3 exons. The record is from RefSeq and is a predicted model, not a curated record. Lineage: Eukaryota; Metazoa; Arthropoda; Insecta; Hymenoptera; Ichneumonidae.